Molecule: transfer RNA, 75 nt
Filed under: Anaerolineae bacterium
Lineage: Bacteria; Bacillati; Chloroflexota; Anaerolineae
Description: tRNA-Met
Rfam family: tRNA
About the family: Transfer RNA (tRNA) molecules are approximately 80 nucleotides in length.
Source: RNAcentral
UGCGGGGUGGAGCAGUGGCAGCUCGUCGGGCUCAUAACCCGAAGGUCACAGGUUCGAAUCCUGUCCCCGCUACCU